This 206-nucleotide ribosomal RNA is filed under the name uncultured bacterium. Its description in RNAcentral is "partial 16S ribosomal RNA". It matches the Rfam family "Bacterial small subunit ribosomal RNA", at positions 1294 to 1500 of the family's 1533-position model. The record is from RNAcentral.
CGGAUUGUAGGCUGCAACUCGCCUACAUGAAGUCGGAAUUGCUAGUAAUCGCGGAUCAGCAUGCCGCGGUGAAUAGUUCCCGGGCCUUGUACACACCGCCCGUCACACCAUGGGAGUCGGUAACACCCGAAGCCUGUAGUCUAACCGCAAGGAGGACGCAGUCGAAGGUGGGAUUGAUGACUGGGGUGAAGUCGUAACAAGGUAGC